CGCAGCCGCGGUAAUUCCAGCUCCAAUAGCGUAUAUUAAAGUUGUUGCAGUUAAAAGCUCGUAGUUGAAUUUCGGGGUUAGUAGGUUGGUCAUGCCUCUGGUAUGUACUGGUCUCACUGAUUCCUCCUUCCUGAUGAGCCGUAAUGCCAUUAAUUUGGCGUUGCGGGGAAUUUGGACUGUUACUUUGAAAAAUUGAGUGUUUAAAGCAAGCUAACGCUUGAAUACAUUAGCAUGGAAUAAUGAAAUAGGACGUUCGAUCCUAUUUUGUUGGUUUCUAGGAUUGACGUAAUGAUUAAUAGGGAUAGUUGGGGGCAUUAGUAU
This 321-nucleotide ribosomal RNA is filed under the name uncultured Glomeromycotina. Its description in RNAcentral is "SSU rRNA". It matches the Rfam family "Eukaryotic small subunit ribosomal RNA", at positions 569 to 897 of the family's 1831-position model. The record is from RNAcentral. Lineage: Eukaryota; Fungi; Glomeromycota.